UACGAAGGGAGCUAGCGUUGUUCGGAAUUACUGGGCGUAAAGGGCGCGUAGGCGGUUUGACAAGUUGGAUGUGAAAGCCCAGGGCUCAACCCUGGAACUGCAUUCAAGACUGUCUUGCUUGAAUUCGGUAGAGGUUGGUGGAAUUCCCAGUGUAGAGGUGAAAUUCGUAGAGAUUGGGAAGAACACCCGUGGCGAAGGCGGCCAACUGGACCGACAUUGACGCUGAGGCGCGAAAGCGUGGGGAGCAAACAGG
Molecule: ribosomal RNA, 253 nt
Filed under: uncultured bacterium
Lineage: Bacteria
Description: partial 16S ribosomal RNA
Rfam family: Bacterial small subunit ribosomal RNA
Source: RNAcentral